UGAGAAAGUAUGAUCUAUGAGUCUCCCUCGGGGUUUCACAGAGCAGUCUACAGGUAAAGAUAAGAACGUAUAUUUUUUCGCUGGAUGAUUGUUCAACUUACAAUAUUUCUUCCUACUGUUUGGGAAGAGUGGCUAGAAAGCUGCAUGGAGGAGAAGGACCUGGGGGUCUUGAUUGACAGUUGUCUGAACAUGGGCCAGCAGUGUGCCCAGGUGGCCAAGAAGGCCAACGGCAUCUUGGCUUGUAUCAGAAACGGCGUGACCAGCAGGUCCAGGGAGGUGAUUCUCCCUCUGUACUUGGCACCCAUGAGACCACAUCUUGCACACUGCGUUCAGUUCUGGGCCCCUCGCCACAAGAAGGAUGUUGAGGCUCUGGAGCGUGUCCAGAGAAGAGCAACAA
This is a long non-coding RNA of Cuculus canorus (common cuckoo), 397 nucleotides long. RefSeq lists it as uncharacterized. The record is from RefSeq and is a predicted model, not a curated record. The transcript has 3 exons. NCBI's taxonomy places the organism in Eukaryota, Metazoa, Chordata, Aves, Cuculiformes, Cuculidae.